GUGGGCAUAGUUUCAAUCAAAACAUUAGACUGUGAUCCUAAAAAUAGAAGCUAAAACCUUCUUGCCCACC
This 70-nucleotide transfer RNA is filed under the name Hylia prasina (green hylia). RNAcentral describes it as "tRNA-His". It matches the Rfam family "tRNA". Rfam says of the family: Transfer RNA (tRNA) molecules are approximately 80 nucleotides in length. The record is from RNAcentral. Lineage: Eukaryota; Metazoa; Chordata; Aves; Passeriformes; Sylviidae.